UACGUAGGCAGCGAGCGUUGUUCGGAGUUACUGGGCGUAAAGGGUGUGUAGGCGGUUCUUUAAGUUUGGUGUGAAAUCUCCCGGCUCAACCGGGAGGGUGCGCCGGAUACUGAGGGGCUAGAGUGUGGGAGAGGAAAGUGGAAUUCCUGGUGUAGCGGUGAAAUGCGUAGAUAUCAGGAGGAACACCGGUGGUGUAAACGGCUUUCUGGACCAUAACUGACGCUGAGGCACGAAAGCGUGGGUAGCAAACAGG
This 253-nucleotide ribosomal RNA is filed under the name uncultured bacterium. Its description in RNAcentral is "partial 16S ribosomal RNA". It matches the Rfam family "Bacterial small subunit ribosomal RNA", at positions 524 to 776 of the family's 1533-position model. The record is from RNAcentral.